Pleuronectes platessa (European plaice) is the source of this 401-nucleotide long non-coding RNA. RefSeq lists it as uncharacterized. The record is from RefSeq and is a predicted model, not a curated record. Lineage: Eukaryota; Metazoa; Chordata; Actinopteri; Pleuronectiformes; Pleuronectidae. The transcript is spliced from 3 exons.
CGUCGCCCACUAACAGAUUUUCUUUGCUGUCAUUGCAGAGCCUGUUUGGAAAGAGGAAGCACAGGAGGAAUUUGUUGAUAACACUGCACUGUAGUGUGACCAGUUAACCUAAAAAAAAAAUGCAAAUUAUAAACCACUGUUAAGAAUGUGCCCUGCUGCAGUGCCCUGGAGCAACUCGGAUUGAGACAGGAGGAGAUGACGGCUCAUACGUAGGUUAAGUAUUGCGGUGGUUUUGAGGUGAGCAGCAUCAUGACAACAUGGCUUUGCUGGUCCGACGGCGAUUUCAACUGAUCGGGGGGGAUCGAGCUCGACGAUGUAACUCCGCUAGCUGCAUGAUGUCACUGGCCAUUCUGGGUGUCUUUUCAUUUGGAGAGCGGCCAAAGAGAAGAGGAUGAUGUCAC